GAGGCAUCUGGGUCUCUAUGAUUGAAACACAGCUUGCUUUGGAGUGGCUUUUCCCAUUGAUUAGGUUCCCCUUAGCUAGAAAACUGAAGGUCUGUUUUCAUGUCUUUCCUGCUCUCCUCCUUCGCUUUCCUUCCUCCACUAAAGGGGCUGAACCUGCAGCAACUCAGUCCACACGUAUUAUCCUCUCACACCUGUACACUCCCUCCCCAUAUCCUCACCAAGAACAACUCCCUGAGUGAUUCCUCAGCAUCAUGGUCAGUGUCCCGAUAAUUCCUCUGUGUCCCUCUAGCUCGCCAUUGAGGUAGAAGAAGAGGCUCUUCCCGACAUUGAGGUGAGCUCCUCUUUCUUUAUCUCAGAUGAAAAUGCAGCUUCAUUUCUUUUUUCAGUCAAAGGCAGUUAUAAAAUUCAGACCAUAUACGUUAUAGCUGAUGUAUACAGUUUCCUUGGUUGGGCAUGUUGAGGGAAAAUCAACUACAACAGAGACCUGAUUCAAUAAAUCUUUCCCCCAAUGUUAGCAUCAAAUAACUACUGUCCUAAGAGCAGGCCCUUUCCCCAGCAGAAUAUUUUCCUCCUUGAAGGAGGAAACUUUUAUGAUACCUGUUUCAAAUUGGACCUGAGAAGUCUUCCAGGAAAAGCUAGAUCCUUUCCCGCUGAUGUCUUCUCAGGUUCCUUUGGGGACCAUCGACUCAAGGACAGUUUCCCAGUUAGUUUUCUGAGGACAAAGAGGGAACAGAAGGCCUGUGAGCUCAGAGCACAGGAAGCUUAAUUAGAUCCUCACACUGUCCUUAUUUUUGUUUUUUCUCUAGUUGCAGAGACAGAACAUUGUCAAGAAAAUUCAUAUAUAUUAUGAGAGGGACACUCCACCGAUGAACAAUCAGGGUGAAGGAGAAAAAGAUGACCCUGAGGAAGCCAUGGACAAGCAGCCCACCAUUGGACGAAAUGAAGAGUCUGACAGCUCCUCAAACAUGCUGGAUGAGGAGGACACUGACAAAGACGGGAUGAGUUUGGAGGUCGACACUCCAGUGACGAACCAUCGGGGUGACGACGACGAUGACGAAGAAGAUCUCCCCGAGAUAGUGCUGGAUGACGUGCCUGCGGUGAGGGUGGCGGGACGGCCUCCAUUCGCUCCGCGGGUAAGUUGGGUUUUUAGUCUGAGCUCGCAGUGUUGCUCUAUUUCCCCUCCGUGGACAUUAAGUUAUGACAGCCUGAGCCUGCACGUUCCAGACCAUGUGGACGGUUCCGAGGGUUGGGACUCCAUGUCAGGCGCGUCUGUUGCCAACUCCCGAUGCCUGCUUCCGCAGGGCAAUGCGAUAACAACACCUGUCCCAGCCUGCAGAGGACAGAGCUCCUUCUCCAGAAGCAUCUUUUCCUCGAGGGAAAGAGUUCUGUCAUCUCCAACUGACAUGGCCUUGGACAUCCCGUCGUCUAGGACAAGUUCUUGCCUUUGUCCCCGAGGAGGGUUUGCUCUGCCUUUGCUGGGUUCUCUGGACUCCACCGCUGUUGUGCAUCGGGGUUUCUGCUGUCACCAAGUGAAGGAAAGACCUGUGCAAAUAGGUGGCCUUGUGGUCUGA
Molecule: long non-coding RNA, 1571 nt
Filed under: Sus scrofa (pig)
Lineage: Eukaryota; Metazoa; Chordata; Mammalia; Artiodactyla; Suidae
Description: lncRNA (ENSSSCG00045001440.1)
Source: RNAcentral